AAUCAGAGAAAGAAAAUUUUUUAAAGUAUUUAACAGCCAAAUAGCACAAAGAUUAUAUGUGUACUGUGUUGGGUGUACAUGCACGCUCUGUCAAAUUACUCACUACAUUGAUAUUUUGUAGAUUGUCUUUGCUGGCCUCAGCAUUUCCAUAGAAAAUGAACAUGAAAAAAUUGGUAGAGAGAGAAAUGAGACAGAAAGCAAGGCGAAACACAGAGGAAACAAGAAUUGAGGAGAAAAGAGUACCAAGUUCUGGAAAUACGCUGGGUGAACAUACAGGGGUUAAGGGAAGCUGUAUUUUCUUUUUCAGCAAGCCUGCACCGUACCUGUACAAGUCAGGUAAAUGGGCUGUAGUAGAUAGUAAAGAGUCAUCCUGGAAAAGUAGAUACCAAUACAAAUCUCAAAGAAAAAAAAAGCAACAACUGGGUACUCUUCACUCCCCUUAGUCUACUUCCUCCACCUAAAAUAUCAGGAUCGUAAUCAAACAAAUUAAAUAGGAUACAGAAUGUUUAGUUGGCAAUGAUGCCAAAGUGAUUGGAAGUCUCUGAUAAAAUAAAGAACUACCAGGUGAAAAAAAGGCAAACCUACUUACACAUACCACUUAAUACUAGGGGAUCUGUUAUAUAAUGCAUCCUAACAUACAUUCAAUGUUUAUAUGAUUAAUCUAGUGAAUGCUUACAGAAACCUUGUACUUUCUUGCAUUAAAAAAAAAAACCACAACCAAACAAUAAGAGGUGGUACUUCAAAAAUAUCAAAUAUUGGCCAAAAAAUAUUGCCAGCAAUCUUUUUAUGGAUGUAUGAGCAUCACCAGCCCUCCUUCAUGAGGAACAUCACCAUUAAAAGAUUUCUGGUUUUAGCAGGGAAUUUGGUGAUUGAAGAGAGACUUUUAUGAGCUAAAUACCUUGUUACAGCUCAGAGUUGCCAUCAGAAAUAACUGCAAUUUGUGAAAAUUCUAUCUGUUUGGCAAUGCUAGAGAAUUAUGGAAAGAUUUAAACUGAAAGGCAUAUCUGGAAGUCAUAGAGUUUAACUUUCUGUUUCAAGCAGGGCUAAUCUCAAAACUACAUCAUGUUGCUCAGGGCAUCAUCCAGUCAAGUUUUGCAAGUGUCAA
Long non-coding RNA from Athene cunicularia (burrowing owl), 1105 nucleotides. RefSeq lists it as uncharacterized. NCBI's taxonomy places the organism in Eukaryota, Metazoa, Chordata, Aves, Strigiformes, Strigidae. The transcript is spliced from 3 exons. The record is from RefSeq and is a predicted model, not a curated record.